RNA transcript from Xiphias gladius (swordfish), 3318 nucleotides. It is a transcript of the gene named sterile alpha motif domain containing 10a, with no coding region annotated. NCBI's taxonomy places the organism in Eukaryota, Metazoa, Chordata, Actinopteri, Istiophoriformes, Xiphiidae. The record is from RefSeq and is a predicted model, not a curated record. The transcript is spliced from 5 exons.
CGCACGCACGCAAACACACACACACACACACACACACACACACUCUCGUCUCAGACAGCACUCAUACCUUAGCAAUGUGCACAGCAUUAAAUGGGUUGUAGGGGCUACCUUUUUUUUUUUUUGGAUAACUUUUACCUUUGGAGAAAUGAUGUCCCUGAUGGUUGUUUCCAAAUUGCAUUCGAAUACGUGGGCCUUGGUGAGUUUCCUUUCCCAGUGCGCUGCUAACCAGAUUUUGGCUAGGGGCCCCCGCUUGGACGUGAAGAGUUGCGUGUAGAACAGCAUGUCGGGAGGUUGGCGGUCGCCUGCGGCAAACACAACACUGGCAUUGGAGAGCAGCUGGGCGUUUGGUCAGACUUACUUGACUGUCAACUACGACUGACGUUUGCUAAACUCCCAGCGUCAAAGUCGGCUAGCUCGCCGUGCUUGCUAGGAGGUAACUUCGCGACGGGCUAGCUUUUCCAGACGUACGUUAGUUAAAGCAUCGUGGCGGCGGUAUGUCUUUUAAUACAGCUCACAAUUAAGUCUUCUGGAUACUGUUAUAUUGAACAUUCAAAGUCCUCGUCAAUGUGAACUUCUACACGAAAGGGGAACGUUUCCACGGAUUCGGUUAUUUGUGAUCGUCAAAUGCCAGAGAGUCAGAAGAGGUGCUCAAACUAUGGCUUAUAAGCAACUUCCAGGAGAAAAAGACAAAGGAGGGCGUAGGUGUGACGUCAAGAUGAGCCUGCCAGACAUGACUGUGGACUUCCCAGCCAAGAGAGAAGGAUGAUGAUCAGUGAUCUCAUCACUAAUCCUGCCGGAGAGAUCCCACAAGUUGGCUGUGAUGUCUCUGCCUUCAUCUCAUCAGCAUUAGAGCCAGAACAAUCUGUUUUCACUUUUUUUGCGACAGCAUUUGACCCUUGACUGAAAGUCCUUCAGUAAAUACCAUUUUAACACAACCAGAUUUUAACAUUUUAGAGGGAGAAUUGUAAGAUAGCAACCAGUGUGAGUCAGAAUAAACUACCAUACCUUUGCACUGAAAAUGAAAGUAAAGAGAGAAAUUGCAGAAGAAAAUUUUUUCGAGAGUCAUGUCAGCUUCUUUAUGUCAUUAUCCAUGACUAGCAACCAUUGAAAACAACAUCAGUAAAAUCUGGACCAGACAACCCGCUGCUGUGCUACUUACCUUCCUGGAAGGAAUGGCUUGUCCUCACUUAAACUCAUGGAGGCCAGGCGGAGAGCAGGACACAGGAGAGGAGCUUGACCAGUCACAGAGAAGGGGGAGAGACAGAGAGAGAGAGAGAGAGAGAGAGAGGAUCACUGGACCUGUUUGAGGCUCACACUGAAGAGUCCGGUUAAGGAUAUCCUCCUCUUCACACUUACGCACAUCUGGCCAGGUGGACACGCUCUCACUCUCUCACACAGCAUAUGCGCUCAUCAUCAUUGUGAAGAUGCACUGAGCUCCACUGAUGUAGAACGAAAAGCCCACAGUGACGGCAGGCCAGCCAAAGAGAGAGAGAGGGUGAGAGGAGAGAGAGAGAGAGAGAGAGAGAGAGAGGGUGAGGGAGAAAAGGAUGAGUAUAAUACUGGCAAGCUCUGAGUGCCACUGAUGAAGUACCGCUCCCCACCCCAUUUCCUCUAUCCAUCCUAACUUGCCACUUUCCCGCAAUACUUAUCCCCUACACUUUAAUUUGUCUCUACACUUAAAGAAGCAUUAUUCAGCUUCUUUACACAUAUGAAUCAUGUACGUGAAUCGUGCUUUUAAGGUGGGUUUUCCCCAAUCAGUUUCCACAGUUUACGCGCCAACAGCUGCUCAUUUCUGAGACUACGAGCGACAGUGUGAAAACUGGCUCUUGAUUUACAGGUGCAACAUUGUCAAGGGGGAUUUUGAUCUUAAAAAUAGAUUUUGAAAAUAAAAUAGAGUGAUUUUAAUGGAAUAUUAAUGUUGUAGGAUGUGCCUGUCAAGUGGUCAUUUAGGCUAAAACUCAAAGUGAGAAAAAUUUUGAUUGUAAUAUCUUAUUAUGUCAAUGGGAUAUUAGACCGCUUAUGACCGUCUUUCAUCAUGGUCCUAGUGAAAAGAUGAAGCUGUGCCAACAGUUGAUGAAUUUCCUCAGUGAACGCCUGUUGCUAGCACUGGCAGUAAAUGAUUAUGUUAGUAAACAAUGAGAACUGCAAAAUGUUUGCAACUAGAAUAAAAUUUCUCAGGUGAUUAGUCUUAAUUCAAGGGUCCAAAAUGAUAAAGCGUCAUCCUCGUUCACACAGUAUAUCCAGCCCUGGUAGGGAGCAUUUGAACUGCUCCUGAAGCGCAGUGUCAUCCUACUUUUUCAUACCCACCAAUGCAGUUUGCUCACAGCGGCGCUGCUCCCAGACUGACUGUCAUGGAAAGCUGCUUAAGGGAGCAUGGGCUGACUCGCUGAGCAGCGCCGAGGCUGCAGGGCUGACAGACUAAUACCUCAGCAAACGGUCCUGGUCUUUCUCAGGCCUCUAGCUCUGACACUUUUAUACGAACUUAGUGUCACAGCCUGUGGUCCGCUGUAGGAUGAAGUCACUCCAGUGACUUAUUAGAGAUGACAGUAGGCAGGAAAUGAUCAGAAUGAGAGUAAAUCAUGGGAAAUUAUUUGAACACGAGAGCAGUCACUUUACAUCAGAUCCUAAAGACAUUGCGAAUGUCAGUAAGUCAGUUAAUUUUUUGCCAUGGUAGCUGCAUGGCUAUAGUGAUGGCAACAUGGGUUGGUCCCCUGGACACUUUUGUCCAGGCUGAAAUAUCUCAACAAAUGUUGGAUGGAUAGGUAUUAAAUUUUGUGUUAUUAAUCGACUUUGGUGAUCCUACUGGCUUUUCCUCCAGCUACACCAGCAGGAGAAAGUUUAAACUUAUCCUGUGAAAUAUCUCAAGAUCUAAUGGAUGGCUUGGUGCAAAAGUUGUCACUGAUAUCCAUGGUGCUCAUAUAUCUUAAUGGCUUUGAUGAUCCCCUGACUUUUCCUGUGGUGCCACCAUGAGGUUGAUAUUUGUGGUUGUGAGUAAAAUUUAUCGACAUCUACUGGAGUGAUUGUCAUUUUGUACAGACAUUCAUGCCCCCCCCCCCCUCAGGAUGUAUUGUAAUAACUGGUGAUCCUCUGUGUUUUCAAAUAGUCAGGUGAAAUUUAGAAUUUGUCCAGCGCUUUGUUUUAAACGACAAUAUGAAAGCAAUAUGAAAGUGUGAAAGGGGUUACUUGUAGUGAUGAACCUACAGAGAAUUAUGGUGAGUUUCAGCUCAUUCUUCAGCUGUCCGGCCACACAAGUUCACUCUCGCUCGCUCUCAUAUAACAUCGUUUUCAGCUGCAGCAGGCGGCUGUUUUCAGUGGAAA